Molecule: ribosomal RNA, 497 nt
Filed under: uncultured bacterium
Lineage: Bacteria
Description: partial 16S ribosomal RNA
Rfam family: Bacterial small subunit ribosomal RNA
Source: RNAcentral
GAUGAACGCUGGCGGCGUGCCUAAUACAUGCAAGUCGAGCGAACAGACGAGGAGCUUGCUCCUCUGACGUUAGCGGCGGACGGGUGAGUAACACGUGGAUAACCUACCUAUAAGACUGGGAUAACUUCGGGAAACCGGAGCUAAUACCGUAUAAUAUAUUGAACCGCAUGGUUCAAUAGUGAAAGACGGUUUUGCGGUCACUUAUAGAUGGAUCCGCGCCGCAUUAGCUAGUUGGUAAGGUAACGGCUUACCAAGGCAACGAUGCGUAGCCGGCCUGAGAGGGUGAUCGGCCACACUGGAACUGAGACAAGGUCAAGACUCCUACGGGAGGCAGCAGUCGGGAAUCUUCCGCAAUAGGCGAAAGCCUGACGGAACAACGCCGCGUGAGUGACGAAGGUCUUCGGAUCGUAAAACCCUGUUAUGAGGGAAAAACAAAUGUGUAAGUAACUAUGCACGUAUUGACGGUACCUAAUAAGAAAGCCACGGCUAACUACGUG